This 253-nucleotide ribosomal RNA is filed under the name uncultured bacterium. RNAcentral's name for it is "partial 16S ribosomal RNA". It matches the Rfam family "Bacterial small subunit ribosomal RNA", at positions 524 to 776 of the family's 1533-position model. The record is from RNAcentral.
UACGAAGGGUGCAAGCGUUACUCGGAAUUACUGGGCGUAAAGCGUGCGUAGGUGGUGAGUUAAGUCUGUCGUGAAAUCCCGCGGCUCAACCGCAGACGGUCGUGGGAAACUGGAUGGCUAGAGUGCGGGAGAGGAGAGUGGAAUUCCCGGUGUAGCGGUGAAAUGCGCAGAUAUCGGGAAGAACACCCGUGGCGAAGGCGGCUCUCUGGAACGCAACUGACGCUGAGACGCGAAAGCGUGGGGAGCAAACAGG